ACCUAGCUGGUUCAGUUGGAAGAGUGUGAGACUCCUGAUCUCGGGGUCAUGAGUUCGAGCCCUAUGCUGGGUA
Molecule: non-coding RNA, 73 nt
Organism: Neogale vison (American mink)
Lineage: Eukaryota; Metazoa; Chordata; Mammalia; Carnivora; Mustelidae
Source: the annotation of a RefSeq genome assembly